AACGCACAUUGCGCCCAUUAGUAUUCUAGUGGGCAUGCCUAUUCGAGCGUCAUUUCAACCCUUAAGCCCCUGUUGCUUAGCGUUGGGAGUCCACAGGUUACCCUGUAGCUCCUGAAAACCAUUGGCGGAGUCUGGGAGCACUCUAAGCGUAUUAUACAUUUUUGUCUCGCUUUGGAUCUUGCCCCGCCUCCACGCCGUAAAACACCCCAUAUCAAAUGUUGACCUCGGAUUAGGUAGGAAUACCCGCUGAACUUAA
This 256-nucleotide unclassified non-coding RNA is filed under the name Hypoxylon sp. Its description in RNAcentral is "partial contains 5.8S ribosomal RNA, internal transcribed spacer 2, and large subunit ribosomal RNA". RNAcentral also lists the same sequence under 2 other names. The record is from RNAcentral. Lineage: Eukaryota; Fungi; Ascomycota; Sordariomycetes; Xylariales; Hypoxylaceae.